This 483-nucleotide ribosomal RNA is filed under the name uncultured bacterium. Its description in RNAcentral is "partial 16S ribosomal RNA". It matches the Rfam family "Bacterial small subunit ribosomal RNA", at positions 30 to 507 of the family's 1533-position model. The record is from RNAcentral.
AUUGAACGCUGGCGGCAGGCCUAACACAUGCAAGUCGAGCGGAUGAAGGGAGCUUGCUCCUGGAUUCAGCGGCGGACGGGUGAGUAAUGCCUAGGAAUCUGCCUGGUAGUGGGGGAUAACGUCCGGAAACGGGCGCUAAUACCGCAUACGUCCUGAGGGAGAAAGUGGGGGAUCUUCGGACCUCACGCUAUCAGAUGAGCCUAGGUCGGAUUAGCUAGUUGGUGGGGUAAAGGCCUACCAAGGCGACGAUCCGUAACUGGUCUGAGGGGAUGAUCAGUCACCCUGGACUGAGACACGGUCCAGACUCCUACGGGAGGCAGCAGUGGGGAAUAUUGGACAAUGGGCGAAAGCCUGAUCCAGCCAUGCCGCGUGUGUGAAGAAGGUCUUCGGAUUGUAAAGCACUUUAAGUUGGGAGGAAGGGCAGUAAGUUAAUACCUUGCUGUUUUGACGUUACCAACAGAAUAAGCACCGGCUAACUUCGUG